CACCUGUUUAUCAAAAACAUGGUCUUUAGAUUAUGAUUUAAGAUUAGUCCUGCUCAAUGAAAUUUUUAAAUAGCUGCAGUAAAUUGACUGUACAAAGGUAGCAUAAUCAAUUGCUUUUUAAAUGGAAGCUAGGAUGAAAGGAUUAAUGAAAUUUGAACUGUUUCAAAAUAAUUUAAAGAAUUUAUAUAUUAAGUAAAAAUUCUUAAAUAAUUUUAAGGGACGAGAAGACCCUAUAGAAUUUUAUAUAAAAUUUUAUUUUAAAAAUUUAUUAAAUUAGAGUUUUAUAUUUAAUUGGGAGGAUUAUUAAAUUUAAGAAACUUUAAUUAGAAUAAAAAUAUUGAUGAAUAAGUUAAAGAUUGGUUAGUAAAAUUAAAAAGAAUUAAUUACCUUAGGGAUAACAGCGUAAUAUUUUUGGAGAGUUCAUAUUAAUAAAAAUGUUUGCGACCUCGAUGUUGAAUUAAGAUAAAAAUUAAAUGUAGAAGUUUAAUAUUUAAGUCUGU
This 500-nucleotide ribosomal RNA is filed under the name Cardiocondyla mauritanica. Its description in RNAcentral is "partial 16S large subunit ribosomal RNA". The stretch from base 1 to 161 matches the Rfam family "Archaeal large subunit ribosomal RNA", at positions 1889 to 2096 of the family's 2987-position model. The record is from RNAcentral. Lineage: Eukaryota; Metazoa; Arthropoda; Insecta; Hymenoptera; Formicidae.